This 253-nucleotide ribosomal RNA is filed under the name uncultured bacterium. RNAcentral describes it as "partial 16S ribosomal RNA". It matches the Rfam family "Bacterial small subunit ribosomal RNA", at positions 524 to 776 of the family's 1533-position model. The record is from RNAcentral.
UACGUAGGUGGCAAGCGUUAUCCGGAUUUACUGGGUGUAAAGGGAGCGUAGACGGCGGUGCAAGUCUGGAGUGAAAGGCAGGGGCCCAACCCCUGGACUGCUCUGGAAACUGUAGUGCUGGAGUGCAGGAGAGGUAAGUGGAAUUCCUAGUGUAGCGGUGAAAUGCGUAGAUAUUAGGAGGAACACCAGUGGCGAAGGCGGCUUACUGGACUGUAACUGACGUUGAGGCUCGAAAGCGUGGGGAGCAAACAGG